RNAcentral lists this ribosomal RNA (460 nucleotides) under uncultured bacterium. RNAcentral describes it as "partial 16S ribosomal RNA". It matches the Rfam family "Bacterial small subunit ribosomal RNA", at positions 338 to 795 of the family's 1533-position model. The record is from RNAcentral.
CCUACGGGAGGCAGCAGUGAGGAAUAUUGGUCAAUGGGCGCGAGCCUGAACCAGCCAAGUAGCGUGAGGGAUGACGGCCCUACGGGUUGUAAACUUCUUUUGUAAAGGAAUAAAGUGAGGGACGGGUGCCGUUUUGUGAGUACUUUAUGAAUAAGGAUCGGCUAACUCCGUGCCAGCAGCCGCGGUAAUACGGAGGAUCCGAGCGUUAUCCGGAGUUAUUGGGUUUAAAGGGAGCGUAGACGGGGGGUUAAGGCAGUUGUGAAAGUUUGGGGCUCAACCGUAAAACUGCCAUUGAUACUGGCAGGCUUGAGUGCCGUAGAGGUAGGCGGAAUUCGUGGUGUAGCGGUGAAAUGCGUAGAUAUUACGAAGAACUCCGAUCGCGAAGGCAGCCUACUGGACUGCCACUGACGUUGAUGCUCGAAAGCGUGGGUAUCAAACAGGAUUAGAUACCCCUGUAGUC